UGUGUGGCAGAAGGGAGGGAUGAGAGUGGGUUCAAAGACUUGAAUUAAGGCAAAGAGCCCCACAUUGUAAUAUUUCAGAUUUGAAAAUAGGAUCUGAUUAAAAAGGUUGUCCAAUUAGUUUUACAAGGAAAGUGACCGAGGACUUCAAGAGGUUCUGUUGGAACAGUAGUUAUCCUGCUUUCUAGAAGUAGGACUUGGCCGGGCAUGGUGGCUCAGGCCUGUAAUCCCAGCACUUUGGGAGGCCGAGGCGGGCAGAUCACUUGAGGUCAGGAGUUCGAGACCAGCCUGACCAACAUGGUGAAACGCUAUCUCUACUCAAAAUACAAAAAAAUUAGCCAGGCCUGGUGGUGGGUGCCUGUAAUCCCAGCUACUCAGGAGGCUGAGGCAAGAGAAUCACUUGAACCCGGGAGACAGAGGUUGCAGUGAGCCGAGAUCACGCCACUGCACUCUAGCCUGGGCAACAGAGUGAGACUCUGUCUCAAAAAAAAAAAAAAUAGAAGUAGGACUAGAAAAACUAGGGCAGUGCUUCUGAAACUUGAGUGCACGUGAAAAUCACGUGAGGAUCUUGUUAAAACAGUCUGAUUCAGUAGUUCGGGAGUAGGGCCCAAGAGGCAGCAUUUCUCACAGUCUAAUUAGUAGAUGUUGAUGCUGCCAGUAUGUGGACCACACUUUUUGAGUAUUACUGAGCUAGAGUAAUGGUCAAAUGGAAAAUUGGAUGGGUCACAUUGCAGAAAAAUGAAGACAGCUGUUGCAUGAACCACUGCUUAAUUUAAAUGUAAAUAUCAAUGUACUGCUCUAAGUGGCCGUGAAAGCAAUAGGUGUUGCCAUAGUAAUUGCUAAAAUGUGUGUCUGAUUUCCAAGGGUUGGAAAUUUUCUCAUGUAUAUGAUUAAAAAGCCAAUUUGAUACCACCCAAAGCAAUGUAUAGAUUCAAUCCAAUCACUACCAAAAUACCAAUGACAUUCUCAACAGAAAUAGGAAAAACGAUCCUAAAAUGUAUAUGGAACCACAAAGGACCCCAAAUAGUCAAAGCAAUCCUGAGCAAAAAGAACAAAGCUGGAGGCAUCAUACUACUGGACUUCAAAAUAUACUACAAAGCUGUAGUAGCCAAAACAGCAUGGUACUGACAUAAAAACAGACAUCAACCAGUGGAACAGAAUAGAGAACCCAGAUGGCCGGGCACAGUGGCUCAUGCCUGUAAUCCCAGCAC
This 1208-nucleotide long non-coding RNA is filed under the name Homo sapiens (human). RNAcentral describes it as "non-protein coding lnc-SMS-2:1". Lineage: Eukaryota; Metazoa; Chordata; Mammalia; Primates; Hominidae. The record is from RNAcentral.